GACGAACGCUGGCGGCGUGCUCAACACAUGCAAGUCGAACGGAAAGGCCCUGCUUGCAGGGUACUCGAGUGGCGAACGGGUGAGUAACACGUGGGUGAUCUGCCCUGCACUUCGGGAUAAGCCUGGGAAACUGGGUCUAAUACCGGAUAGGAGCCAUUUUUAGUGUGAUGGUUGGAAAGUUUUUUCGGUGUAGGAUGAGCUCGCGGCCUAUCAGCUUGUUGGUGGGGUAAUGGCCUACCAAGGCGGCGACGGGUAGCCGGCCUGAGAGGGUGGACGGCCACAUUGGGACUGAGAUACGGCCCAGACUCCUACGGGAGGCAGCAGUGGGGAAUAUUGCACAAUGGGCGCAAGCCUGAUGCAGCGACGCCGCGUGGGGGAUGACGGCCUUCGGGUUGUAAACUCCUUUCGCUAGGGACGAAGCUUUUGUGACGGUACCUAGAUAAGAAGCACCGGCUAACUACGUG
This 464-nucleotide ribosomal RNA is filed under the name uncultured bacterium. RNAcentral describes it as "partial 16S ribosomal RNA". It matches the Rfam family "Bacterial small subunit ribosomal RNA", at positions 28 to 507 of the family's 1533-position model. The record is from RNAcentral.